This 475-nucleotide small RNA is filed under the name Cystobasidium slooffiae. RNAcentral's name for it is "eukaryotic LSU rRNA". The stretch from base 116 to 269 matches the Rfam family "5.8S ribosomal RNA". The record is from RNAcentral. Lineage: Eukaryota; Fungi; Basidiomycota; Cystobasidiomycetes; Cystobasidiales; Cystobasidiaceae.
UAGAGUCCGACCCUUUCAUUUUCUUACACUGUGCACACACUUCUUUUUUACACACACUUUUAACACCUUAGUAUAAGAAUGUAAUAGUCUCUUAAUUGAGCAUAAAUAAAAACAAAACUUUCAGCAACGGAUCUCUUGGCUCUCGCAUCGAUGAAGAACGCAGCGAAUUGCGAUAAGUAAUGUGAAUUGCAGAAUUCAGUGAAUCAUCGAAUCUUUGAACGCACCUUGCACUCUUUGGUAUUCCGAAGAGUAUGUCUGUUUGAGUGUCAUGAAACUCUCAACCCCCCUAUUUUGUAAUGAGAUGGGUGUGGGCUUGGAUUAUGGUUGUCUGUCGGCGUAAUUGCCGGCUCAACUGAAAUACACGAGCAACCCUAUUGAAAUAAACGGUUUGACUUGGCGUAAUAAUUAUUUCGCUAAGGACGCUUUCUUCAAAUAUAAGAGGUGCUUCUAAUUCGCUUCUAAUAGCAUUAAGCUU